GGGCGAAAGCCUGACGCAGCCAUGCCGCGUGAAUGAUGAAGGUCUUAGGAUUGUAAAAUUCUUUCACCGGGGACGAUAAUGACGGUGCCCGGAGAAGAACCCCGGCUAACUUCGUGCCAGCAGCCGCGGUAAUACGAAGGGGGCUAGCGUUGCUCGGAAUUACUGGGCGUAAAGGGAGCGUAGGCGGACAUUUAAGUCAGGGGUGAAAUCCCGGGGCUCAACCUCGGAAUUGCCUUUGAUACUGGGUGUCUUGAGUAUGAGAGAGGUGUGUGGAACUCCGAGUGUAGAGGUGAAAUUCGUAGAUAUUCGGAAGAACACCAGUGGCGAAGGCGACACACUGGCUCAUUACUGACGCUGAGGCUCGAAAGCGUGGGGAGCAAACAGGAUUAGAUACCCUGGUAGUCCACGCCGUAAACGAUGAUUGCUAGUUGUCGGGAUGCAUGCAUUUCGGUGACGCAGCUAACGCAUUAAGCAAUCCGCCUGGGGAGUACGGUCGCAAGAUUAAAACUCA
RNAcentral lists this ribosomal RNA (511 nucleotides) under uncultured bacterium 131. Its description in RNAcentral is "bacterial SSU rRNA". It matches the Rfam family "Bacterial small subunit ribosomal RNA", at positions 373 to 903 of the family's 1533-position model. The record is from RNAcentral.